Molecule: ribosomal RNA, 253 nt
Filed under: uncultured bacterium
Lineage: Bacteria
Description: partial 16S ribosomal RNA
Rfam family: Bacterial small subunit ribosomal RNA
Source: RNAcentral
UACGGAGGGUGCGAGCGUUGUCCGGAAUCAUUGGGCGUAAAGGGCGCGUAGGUGGCCCGGUCAGUUCGUGGUGAAAGCGCGGGGCUCAACCCUGCGUCGGCAUGAAUACUGCCGCGGCUGGAGCACUGUAGAGGCAGGCGGAAUUCCGGGUGUAGCGGUGGAAUGCGUAGAGAUCCGGAAGAACACCGGUGGCGAAGGCGGCCUGCUGGGCAGUUGCUGACACUGAGGCGCGACAGCGUGGGGAGCAAACAGG